UUACACUCCCACAAGUCAUCACUAUUGACAUUAACUCACGCCCCUUAUAACCCAACCUUUCGAAAUCCAUUCUCUCACACAACUUUCAAGAAGAAAAAUAGCUGUUAUUUCUGUAACUGAAAUGCUAAAUUUUGCCCUAUCUAACUGGCUUGCGUAGAUCAUUAAAGUCUUUUUGUAAUUUUCUUCCUCAGGUUGAUCAAUCAUGAAGAUCUUAAUCAGCAGUCUCUUUGUUGCCUUAGUUUUGAUCUUGGGAUCCUUUCAAGCGAAUGCAAAAUGGGUUCUUCCCCAGGAACGUCAGUUAUUCAACGAUGCAAAUCUGGCCCGAAAGGUAAGUGCUGGUCCUAAUGAUAAGUUUGCGACUGAAACCAAAGGAGCUGAGAAUCUUGAAACUAAGACAAAAAAUGGAGCUGACACUGCUGUAAAUUGUGAGUUGAAUGAAAAUAACGAUGGAGAAGAUUCAGGUUCAACCUCCCAUCGCUAUUUCUCAGAUGAUGAACGCCAACCCAUAAACAAUAAGAUUCACACACCUCAUCCCAGUCCCUAGACGACGAAAAUAUGGUUUUUAUGCUACAAGUUUUAGUUUUGGGUGCUUAGCACUUGUGUAUUUUAGUGAAGUCUUGUGCAAUAAUCUUGGCUUUUAUGCUACCUAAGUUUAUAGACUCCUUAUUAUGUGGUAUUUUCAUAUGUGAUCUACUGAAGUUAAAGUGAGUUGUCGCAUGUUUAAUUGUCUAUAGACUACUUAUUAUGUGGUAUUUUCCUAACUAUUUUUUAGUGACAUGGAG
This 782-nucleotide long non-coding RNA is filed under the name Coffea arabica (coffee). RNAcentral describes it as "long non-coding RNA (CARA_LNC007090)". Lineage: Eukaryota; Viridiplantae; Streptophyta; Magnoliopsida; Gentianales; Rubiaceae. The record is from RNAcentral.